RNAcentral lists this ribosomal RNA (1091 nucleotides) under uncultured organism. RNAcentral's name for it is "bacterial SSU rRNA". It matches the Rfam family "Bacterial small subunit ribosomal RNA", at positions 168 to 1275 of the family's 1533-position model. The record is from RNAcentral.
ACCCCAUAUGCCUCCGGGUGAAAAGUAAUUCGCCUGAAGAUGAGCUCGCGUCAGAUUAGCUAGUUGGUGGGGUAAGAGCCUACCAAGGCGACGAUCUGUAGCUGGUCUGAGAGGAUGAUCAGCCACACUGGGACUGAGACACGGCCCAGACUCCUACGGGAGGCAGCAGUGGGGAAUUUUCCGCAAUGGGCGCAAGCCUGACGGAGCAAGACCGCGUGGGGGAUGACGGCCUAAUGGUUGUAAACCCCUUUUCUCUGGGAAGAAGACUGACGGUACCAGAGGAAUCAGCCUCGGCUAACUCCGUGCCAGCAGCCGCGGUAAUACGGAGGAGGCAAGCGUUAUCCGGAAUUAUUGGGCGUAAAGCGUCCGUAGGUGGUUAUUCAAGUCUGCUGUCAAAGCGUGGGGCUUAACUCCAUGGAGGCAGUGGAAACUGAGUGACUAGAGUGCGGUAGGGGUCGAGGGAAUUCCCAGUGUAGCGGUGAAAUGCGUAGAUAUUGGGAAGAACACCAGUGGCGAAAGCGCUCGACUGGGCCUGCACUGACACUGAGGGACGAAAGCUAGGGGAGCGAAAGGGAUUAGAUACCCCUGUAGUCCUAGCCGGUAAACGAUGGAUACUAAGGUGUUGCUCGUCAUCGACCCGGGCAAGUGCCGUUUCCUACCCGCUUAAGUAUCCCGCCCUGGGGAGUACAGCUCGCAAGUCGUGUAACUCUAAAGGUAUUACAGGGGGGCCCGCACAAGCGCCUGGAGAUAUGUGGUUUAUAUUUCGAUGUAACGCGAAGAACCUUCACAGGGGCUUGAAAUGUCCGGGAACAUUGCCGAGAGUUGAGGGUGCCUUCGGGACCCGGAAAACACGUUGUUAAAUGGCUGUCGUCAGCUCUGUGUCAUGAGAUGUUGGGUUAAGUCCCCGCAACGAGCGCAACCCACGUUCUUAGUGGCCAGACUUGAGCUGUCAUCUCUAGGGAGACUGCCGGUGACUAACCGGAGGAAGGUGUGGAUGACGUCAAGUCAGCAUGACCCUUACGUCCUGGGCUACACACGUACUACAAUGCUGUGGACAAAGGGCAGCCAGCCAGCGAUGGUGAGCUAAUCCC